Molecule: RNA transcript, 2424 nt
Organism: Cebus imitator (Panamanian white-faced capuchin)
Lineage: Eukaryota; Metazoa; Chordata; Mammalia; Primates; Cebidae
Gene: BEST4
Gene name: bestrophin 4
Exons: 14
Source: RefSeq, a predicted model, not a curated record
GAUGGUCCUUUACCUGGACAGUGCCAUCACUAAACAGCAUGAGGAGAGCCUGAUCCGUCUUGACCCACUGCAGCAGCAAGGGCGGGGCAGCUUUGAGUACCACCCCCCACCACCAAGGGGGAAUCAGAAGGGAUCAGGAUGUGUUGGUUUUCAGUGUGCCACAGCUCCACCCCUCACACCUUCAUGAGGUGCUGCUCCAUGUAGGAGGGCUCAGGAGUCUCACCCAACUUGAGGUCCCGGUGCAAGAUGCCCCGCUGGUGCAAGUACUUAAGGCCUGAAAGGAUCUGCCGCAGGUCAGCAGUCUUCCUGUGGGGAGAUGGUGGUGGGGCUAGAAAGCACAAAUCCCCAGGGCUCCCAGCACCAUGACGGUUUCAUACACUCUCAAAGUGGCAGAGGCCCGCUUUGGGGGUUUCUCUGGACUGCUUCUCCGAUGGAGGGGAAGCAUCUACAAGCUCCUCUACAAGGAAUUCUUCCUCUUUGUGGCCUUGUACGCUGUGCUUAGCAUCAUCUACCGGCUGCUACUGACCCAGGAGCAGAGGCACGUGUAUGCUCAGGUGGCCCGGUACUGCAACCGCUCAGCGAACCUCAUCCCCUUGUCCUUUGUACUGGGUUUCUAUGUGACUCUGGUGGUGAACCGCUGGUGGUCUCAGUACACAAGCAUCCCGCUGCCAGACCAGCUGAUGUGCGUCAUCUCGGCCAGCGUGCACGGCGUGGACCAGCGGGGCCGCCUGCUGCGUCGCACCCUCAUCCGCUACGCGAACCUGGCGUCCGUGCUGGUGCUGCGCUCGGUCAGCACCCGCGUGCUCAAGCGCUUCCCCACCAUGGAGCACGUGGUGGACGCAGGUGCGCCGCUCGCCGGGAGCCUCUGGGGGGCCGGCCCACGGCCGGAUGCAGGUUUCAUGUCGCAGGAAGAGAGGAAAAAGUUUGAGAGCCUGAAAUCCGACUUCAACAAAUACUGGGUGCCCUGUGUCUGGUUCACCAACCUAGCGGCCCAGGCCCGGAGGGACGGGCGAAUCCGUGACGACAUCGCUCUCUGUCUACUUUUGGAAGAGCUGAACAAGUACCGAGCCAAGUGCAGCAUGCUAUUCCACUAUGACUGGAUCAGCAUCCCCCUCGUCUACACCCAAGUGGUGACCAUAGCCGUCUACUCCUUCUUUGGCCUCUCCCUGGUUGGCCGCCAGUUUGUGGAGCCAGAGGCAGGGGCUGCCAAACCUCAGAAGCCUCUGGAGUCAGGCCAGGAGCCAGCCCCGGCCCUGGGAGACCUGGACAUGUAUGUGCCUCUCACCACUCUACUGCAGUUCUUCUUCUAUGCUGGCUGGCUCAAGGUGGCUGAACAGAUCAUCAACCCAUUUGGUGAGGACGAUGACGACUUUGAGACAAACCAGCUCAUAGACCGAAACUUGCAGGUGUCCCUGCUAUCCGUGGACGAAAUGUACCAGAACCUGCCCCCAGCCGAGAAGGACCAGUACUGGGAUGAGGACCAGCCGCAGCCACCCUACACUGUGGCCACGGCGGCCGAGUCUCUGCGGCCCUCCUUCCUGGGCUCCACCUUCAACCUGCGCAUGAGCGACGACCCUGAGCAGAGCCUGCAGGUGGAAGCGUCGCCCGCGUCUGGUCGGCUGGCGCCCGCCGCGCAGACCCCGCUGCUCGGCCGCUUCCUGGGCGCAGGGGCGCCCUCCCCGGCCAUCAGCCUCCGGAACUUCGGCCGCGCGCGAGGCACCCCCCGCACUCCGCAUCUGCUUCGCCUCCGGGCCGAGGAGGGCGGAGACCCCGAGGCCGCAUCCCGCAUCGAAGAAGAGGCGGCGGAGUCCGGGGACGAGGCCUUGGAGCCUUGAGGUCUCGCCUGCCCCUGCCUGCUUCCCCCCACUCACUGCCCCCCUUCCCUGCCAUGCGCGGUCCUGCCAGCCAGUUCUAUUAGAGCAGCUUUUCCUGAGUGCCUUGAAGGCCAAAGCAUUUAGGGACAGAACUUGAAAAAGAAGAUGGCAGGAGGGGCCUGAGCCAGGGCUGGGAAUGUGUCCACUUUGGUGGUAGAGAAGGUUGGAUGGGUUGCUUGGGGGAGGUCAAACUAGAAAAAUAAAAGCCUAGGCACAGAGGACUAGAGCCCAGGUGUACUGUUAGCUUCACAGCAACGGGGAGCUAGGCCAGCGGUUUUCAAACUUGAGGUAGGAUCAGCAUCACUGAAGCUCUUGUCAAAAGAGUGCAUUAGAUUUGGAAUGAUGCCCGAUAACUUGCAUUUCUAACAAGUUCCCAGGUGACGCUGUGCUGCUGGUCCAGGAAACACAAUCUGAGAGUCACGUGAAGCAGUACUUGGAGGGGUGCCAGAGACACAGCAGGAAACAACCUCAUUUCCCUGAAGUAACAUUCCAAAGGGAAGAAAGCAAACUUUGUCAGAUUAAGGAAUAAAGAGAAAAAAUCGGCAAAGUA